RNAcentral lists this ribosomal RNA (983 nucleotides) under uncultured bacterium. Its description in RNAcentral is "bacterial SSU rRNA". It matches the Rfam family "Bacterial small subunit ribosomal RNA", at positions 28 to 1015 of the family's 1533-position model. The record is from RNAcentral.
GAUGAACGCUAGCGGCAGGCUUAACACAUGCAAGUCGAGGGGUAGGAGAAGCUUGCUUUUCUGAGACCGGCGCACGGGUGCGUAACGCGUAUGCAAUCUACCUUUCACAGAGGGAUAGCCCAGAGAAAUUUGGAUUAAUACCUCAUAGUAUAAUUGAAUGGCAUCAUUUAAUUAUUAAAGAUUUAUCGGUGAAAGAUGAGCAUGCGUCCCAUUAGCUAGUUGGUAUGGUAACGGCAUACCAAGGCAACGAUGGGUAGGGGUCCUGAGAGGGAGAUCCCCCACACUGGUACUGAGACACGGACCAGACUCCUACGGGAGGCAGCAGUGAGGAAUAUUGGACAAUGGGCGCAAGCCUGAUCCAGCCAUGCCGCGUGCAGGAUGACGGUCCUAUGGAUUGUAAACUGCUUUUAUACAGGAAGAAACACUCCCUCGUGAGGGAGCUUGACGGUACUGUAAGAAUAAGGAUCGGCUAACUCCGUGCCAGCAACCGCGGUAAUACGGAGGAUCCAAGCGUUAUCCGGAAUCAUUGGGUUUAAAGGGUCCGUAGGCGGUCAGGUAAGUCAGUGGUGAAAGCCCAUCGCUCAACGGUGGAACGGCCAUUGAUACUGUCUGACUUGAAUUAUUAGGAAGUAACUAGAAUAUGUAGUGUAGCGGUGAAAUGCUUAGAGAUUACAUGGAAUACCAAUUGCGAAGGCAGGUUACUACUAAUUGAUUGACGCUGAUGGACGAAAGCGUGGGUAGCGAACAGGAUUAGAUACCCUGGUAGUCCACGCCGUAAACGAUGGAUACUAGCUGUUGGGAGCAAUCUCAGUGGCUAAGCGAAAGUGAUAAGUAUCCCACCUGGGGAGUACGAACGCAAGUUUGAAACUCAAAGGAAUUGACGGGGGCCCGCACAAGCGGUGGAGCAUGUGGUUUAAUUCGAUGAUACGCGAGGAACCUUACCAAGGCUUAAAUGUAGAUUGACCGUUUGGAAACAGAACUUC